This 710-nucleotide ribosomal RNA is filed under the name uncultured Lachnospiraceae bacterium. Its description in RNAcentral is "bacterial SSU rRNA". It matches the Rfam family "Bacterial small subunit ribosomal RNA", at positions 42 to 754 of the family's 1533-position model. The record is from RNAcentral. Lineage: Bacteria; Bacillati; Bacillota; Clostridia; Lachnospirales; Lachnospiraceae.
GCGUGCCUAACACAUGCAAGUCGAACGAAGCACCUUUUAAGAUUCUUCGGAUGAUUGAUUGGUGACUGAGUGGCGGACGGGUGAGUAACGCGUGGGUAACCUGCCCUGUACAGGGGGAUAACAGUUGGAAACGGCUGCUAAUACCGCAUAAGCGCACGAGAGGACAUCCUCUUGUGUGAAAAACUCCGGUGGUACAGGAUGGGCCCGCGUCUGAUUAGUUGGUUGGCAGGGUAACGGCCUACCAAGGCGACGAUCAGUAGCCGGUCUGAGAGGAUGAACGGCCACAUUGGAACUGAGACACGGUCCAAACUCCUACGGGAGGCAGCAGUGGGGAAUAUUGCACAAUGGGGGAAACCCUGAUGCAGCAACGCCGCGUGAGUGAAGAAGUAUUUCGGUAUGUAAAGCUCUAUCAGCAGGGAAGAUAAUGACGGUACCUGACUAAGAAGCUCCGGCUAAAUACGUGCCAGCAGCCGCGGUAAUACGUAUGGAGCAAGCGUUAUCCGGAUUUACUGGGUGUAAAGGGUGCGUAGGUGGCAGUGCAAGUCAGAUGUGAAAGGCCGGGGCUCAACCCCGGAGCUGCAUUUGAAACUGCAUAGCUAGAGUACAGGAGAGGCAGGCGGAAUUCCUAGUGUAGCGGUGAAAUGCGUAGAUAUUAGGAGGAACACCAGUGGCGAAGGCGGCCUGCUGGACUGUUACUGACACUGAGGCAC